GAGCAUUAAUAUUGAUGCCGAGAAGGGAGGCUGACCAAGCUCUCAGUCACUCACUCUCUCUCUCUUCCAUCUCUCUCUCUCUCUCCCCCCUCCCUCCCUCUUAUACCCACACCCUGGAUGCAGGCAGGCGUGCACACACCGGCAGAUUGACUCAGCUUCCGUGUCGCUCUCCCAGCUCCAUCUCUGAGUCUCCAUCCCUCCCUGCUCUCUCCUCUGGUGGAUUCUAGCCCACUGCUUUGUGGAAAACCGGUAAGAACAAAUCCUCUCUUUCACUGGCGUGUUUUUGAUUUCUUUCAGCCCUUGUGUUUCUUUCUGAUCUAAUUUCGCUGGAGUCUGACAAAGGAUUGGGGUGUGGCUGAGGAAAAAGGAGCCUGCUGCUGAUGGAAGCUUUGAAAUGAUGUGAAAACAGAAGGCUAUGGAUGAUGGUAAUGGUAAUACAGGAACAAUGGAGCACAUGCUUGAGAAUACAGUUGACGUUAUCGUUGUAAAUGUUAUUAAGACUUGGCAGGGCUGGAUUUGGACACCUUGGUAGCUUAUGAGAAAUGAUCCAUUGCACCUCAUUUCAAGGAUCUGCAUACUUAAAAUUCUGGCCAUGUGCCUGGCUUAACUACGUCUGUGUCGCACUGAAUCUUUUAGGCCCUAUUUAUGUUCUGACGAGUCAGAUUAGUUAAUUUUACAGCUCCUUGGUGUGCAGAUGACUGGCUACAGACUGGUGGGCUUGUCACAUUUUCACAGCAGCCCCUUCCAGAGCAGUGGCUCAAAGAGGCAUGACUGGGCCCGACUGUGCAAGACAGAUUAGUCAGACCUGAGGCUAGGUCAGGAAUAUGACUGCAGUGGAGCCUGUGGCGGAGCACUGCCCAGAUCCAGCAGGCUGCAGGGGUGGAUGCAGAGAGAGAAAGAGGGAGAGAGAGGGAGAGGAUGCAGAGGGAGAGAACAAAGAACUCAGCCUAGGAAGGAGAGAAAAUGUAGAGACAAAGAAGAUCAGGCAGAUGGGUAAAAAUAGGCACAUGUUAGCUACAUAGGCAUUUUGGUGGGAAGAAAAUCAAGGCAGAGCAUGAGUGGGAGGUGGCCACCACGCACAGGCGUGAAUGUGAAUGUGUCUGCACAUAAAGGGAGUGGCUACAACAUGUGCUGCUUGGAUGGAUACAAAGACAGAGAAAUCAUUUUUAAUUUUAUACAAAAAGACGAAAAAGGAGUCUUUAUUAUGACUAUUCCAAAAAGGCCAUUGUACUGUAGAAUACACUUUUAGAAAUAUUUAUGAAGGAUCUUAUAUCUCAUUCUAUAUUUCACUGUCUAAUCUCUGCCAUGGCUGACAGGAAAGGUCAAACCUCUGUGCUGAGGUUUUUUAUUUUCUUUUGCAGCCAAAAUGUCUGACAAGCCUGACAUGACUGAAAUCGCUCGCUUCGACAAGACAAAGCUGAAGAAGACAGAGACAAAAGAAAAAAACCCUUUGCCCACCAAAGAGAGUGAGUGUCCCUCAUGUCUACAGCAUGUGUACAUGUGUGUGUAUGUAUGUGUGUGUGUUUCUAGGCAGAAUUAGAGCCUCAAUUCCCUGCAACAAUUUUCCUGUCAGUAGCUACUCAUCACCUCCAGUGCUGUCAGAGGAAUACAUGCUCAGCAAGCAGAGCAGCAAAAAGCAAAUAGCUGCAACAUCAGCAAAUCAUUGAUAUUCAGGACAAAAAAAACAAAAGCACCAUUUCUCUGCUGCGUUGCCCAACAACAAAUUCAAGCCUGCUGACCCAUAAUCUCUUUUCUUUUUUCAGCAAUUGAGCAAGAGAGAAAAGGCGACGCCACACCUUGACUUCAGAGCACAUGAAGAAAAGAAGCUGAGAUGCGACAGCAAAAAAAGCACUUUCUUUUGAUUAUCACAGUAUUUCAAUCUCUUGCGUUGUCUUCAGAAUAAGGGUGCUCUUAAGCUCCCUGGGGUGCUGUAAGGGGUAUAUGGCAUCUUCACAUGGGGGCUCUCUUACCACUAUAGGGUGAAAAAAAAACUUUAGUCUGGGUGCCUAUCUAGCACUGUUAGCUUUGAGCUAGCAUAUCUCAAAUGUUGCCAAACUGGGGAGUGGUGUGGAGGUGGUGUAGCACAGAUAGAUGGGCAGGCACCCAGGCUAGGGGGAGGUGGGGUGGUGUGGGGGGUGAGGACAGGGGAGCAUUCUGAGUCUAAUCAUGUGGGAUGUUUUCUUAAAAAAACUUUUUACUUUUCUUUAUGAAAUAAAUAUGAAGACAUUCAACCAGAUUUUCCUGCAUAGUCCUCUUUCUUUUGUGACUGUAUUAAAGUGAUACACGCGCCAACAGGGCGAGGACCGAUUAUACAAAGCCAGGGAAUUAAAAAUCAAUCAAAUGA
Molecule: long non-coding RNA, 2344 nt
Filed under: Xyrichtys novacula (pearly razorfish)
Lineage: Eukaryota; Metazoa; Chordata; Actinopteri; Labriformes; Labridae
Source: RNAcentral